GACGUAGGGGCGAGCGUUGUCCGGAAUUACUGGGCGUAAAGAGCACGUAGGCGGGAACUUAAGUCAGGUGUGAAAGACCCUGGCUCAACCACGGGUAUGCAUUUGAAACUGGGUUUCUUGAGGGCAGGAGAGGAAAGCAGAAUUCCUGGUGUAGCGGUGAAAUGCGUAGAAAUCAGGAGGAAUACCAGUGGCGAAGGCGGCUUUCUGGACUGACCCUGACGCUGAGGUGCGAAAGCGUGGGUAGCAAACAGGAUUAGAUACCCUGGUAGUCCCUGA
RNAcentral lists this ribosomal RNA (276 nucleotides) under uncultured prokaryote. Its description in RNAcentral is "partial 16S ribosomal RNA". It matches the Rfam family "Bacterial small subunit ribosomal RNA", at positions 524 to 800 of the family's 1533-position model. The record is from RNAcentral.